Molecule: transfer RNA, 19 nt
Filed under: Sphagnum cristatum
Lineage: Eukaryota; Viridiplantae; Streptophyta; Sphagnopsida; Sphagnales; Sphagnaceae
Description: partial tRNA-Phe
Source: RNAcentral
ACAAAAGCCGGGAUAGCUC